AGGACGAACGCUGGCGGCGCGCCUAACACAUGCAAGUCGAGCGAGAACCAGGGCUUGCCCUGGGGACAGCGGCGAACGGGUGCGUAACACGUGAGCAACCUGCCCCAAAGACCGGGACAACCCGAGGAAACUCGGACUAAUACCGGAUGCCCUCACCGGGUCGCAUGGUCUGGUGAGGAAAUGGAUUCCGCUUUGGGAUGGGCUCGCGGUCUAUCAGCUUGUUGGUGGGGUAACGGCCUACCAAGGCGACGACGGAUAGCUGGUCUGAGAGGACGAUCAGCCACACUGGGACUGAGACACGGCCCAGACUCCUACGGGAGGCAGCAGUGGGGAAUCUUGCGCAAUGGGGGAAACCCUGACGCAGCGACGCCGCGUGCGGGAUGAAGGCCUUCGGGUUGUAAACCGCUUUCAGCAGGGACGAAAUUGACGGUACCUGCAGAAGAAGGCCCGGCCAACUACGUGCCAGCAGCCGC
RNAcentral lists this ribosomal RNA (473 nucleotides) under uncultured bacterium. RNAcentral's name for it is "SSU rRNA". It matches the Rfam family "Bacterial small subunit ribosomal RNA", at positions 26 to 518 of the family's 1533-position model. The record is from RNAcentral.